AUGACCCUCAGCGAGAUAACACACACCAUGACUCGGAACACACCGAGAGGAAAAACACUACACACAACCCUCACUGAAAUAACACACACCGUCACUCGGAACACACCGAGAGGAGAAACACCACACGCGACCCUCACCGAGAUAACACACACCGUUACUCGGAACACACCGCGGGGAGAAACACCACACACGACCCUCACUGAGAUAACACACACUGUCACUCGGAACACACUGAGAGGAGAAACACUACACACGACCCUCACCGAGAUAACACACACUGUCACUCGGAACACACAGAGAGGAAAAACACUACACACGACCCUCACUGAGAUAACACACACUGUCACUCGGAACACACUGAGAGGAGAAACACUACACACGACCCUCACCGAGAUAACACACACCGUCACUCGGAACACACUGAGAGGACAAACACCACACAUGACCCUCAGCGAGAUAACACACACCAUGACUCGGAACACACAGAGAGGAAAAACACUACACACGACCCUCACUGAGAUAACACACACUGUCACUCGAAACACACUGAGAGGAGAAACACCACACAUGACCCUCAGCGAGAUAACACACACCGUCACCCGGAACACACCGAGAGGAGAAACACUACACACAACCCUCACCGAGAUAACACACACCAUGACUCGGAACACACAGAGAGGAAAAACACUACACACAACCCUCACUGAGAUAACACACACCAUGACUCGGAACACACAGAGAGGAAAAACACUACACACAACCCUCACUGAGAUAACACACACUGUCACUCGGAACACACUGAGAGGAGAAACACCACACAUGACCCUCAGCGAGAUAACACACACCGUCACCCGGAACACACCGAGAGGAGAAACACUACACACGACCCUCACCGAGAUAACACACACAAUGACUCGGAACACACAGAGAGGAAAAACACUACACACAACCCUCACUGAGAUAACACAUACCGUCACUCAGAACACACCGAGAGGAGAAACACUACACACGACCCUCACCGAGAUAACACACACCGUCACUCGGAACACACUGAGAGGAAAAACACUACACACGACCCUCACUGAGAUAACACAUACCGUCACUCAGAACACACCGAGAGGAGAAACACUACACACAACCCUCGCCGAGAUAACACACACCAUGACUCGGAACACACAGAGAGGAAAAACACUACACACGACCCUCACUGAGAUAACACACACUGUCACUCGAAACACACUGAGAGGAGAAACACCACACAUGACCCUCAGCGAGAUAACACACACCAUGACUCGGAACACACAGAGAGGAAAAACACUACACACGACCCUCACUGAGAUAACACACACCGUCACUCGGAACACACUGAGAGGACAAACACCACACAUGACCCUCAGCGAGAUAACACACACCAUGACUCGGAACACACAGAGAGGAAAAACACUACACACGACCCUCACUGAGAUAACACACACUGUCACUCGAAACACACUGAGAGGAGAAACACCACACAUGACCCUCAGCGAGAUAACACACACCGUCACCCGGAACACACCGAGAGGAGAAACACUACACACGACCCUCACCGAGAUAACACACACAAUGACUCGGAACACACAGAGAGGAAAAACACUACACACAACCCUCACUGAGAUAACACACACUGUCAAACACCAAUACAGAAAAUACUAA
RNAcentral lists this long non-coding RNA (1692 nucleotides) under Carassius auratus (goldfish). RNAcentral describes it as "lncRNA (ENSCARG00000055489.1)". The record is from RNAcentral. Lineage: Eukaryota; Metazoa; Chordata; Actinopteri; Cypriniformes; Cyprinidae.